Molecule: unclassified non-coding RNA, 1003 nt
Filed under: Hevea brasiliensis (rubber tree)
Lineage: Eukaryota; Viridiplantae; Streptophyta; Magnoliopsida; Malpighiales; Euphorbiaceae
Source: RNAcentral
AGUCAACUUCAAAGUGGAUUUGUUGUGCGAAGAGUGCGUUAUGACCCGUGGCCGCCUGCCUGGUGGGGGCGGUUCCUCCGUUGUGGGUAAACGGGAAACCCGACUCUACGAACCCGAGGAAAGGCUGCACAGCAGUAGUAAGGGCGUUAAGACCGGAGCUUUUUGUAGUGCUAGCAGGAAUGCAAGUGAAUGAAUCCCAUCCCCUAGCGAGUGAAGUGCUUACGCCCCUUUGGGGCGCGCUAGCGCUUUACUAAUAUAAUAGAAUCGUUCCCGUUAUAUAUAUAUAAUAGAAAGUCAAGGGGGCUGAGAAGCUGUUGCUUGCUGUCUACUUCGCGAGCCCACUGCCCCGUUCUGUAACUUCCCUUCUUUCGUCCGUCCACGAGGCUGUAAAAAGAGAGAAAGGGGCGGCUAUCUAGUGGGAGUCGUUUCGGUUGUAUGCCACGAGGUCCCUAUGGACAAGGGGACAAGUGAAUCAUCGCUUUUGGGCGCAGGCAGCCCUCUACCAUCCAUCCCAUUGCAUUCCAUCGUCUCGUAUUGUACUGUACCGUAUCAGACCAGAUACAUCCAUUGAGUGAGAGAAAGGUAGUGUAACUAAUUAUAUAUUCUUCAUUUUUAUAUUGAUAGGGAUCCCCAUUCAUUCCUAGAUUCCCGUCACUACGGAUUGAUUGCCCCUACCUAACUACAUGGUAGUGGUCUAGGGAGCGAAAUUGCUAGAGCACGGGAGAAUGAAGAGUAAUGAUUUCAGCAAGAGCAGCCGGACGGACUACUAUAGUGAGUCUAGUGACUACUAGAGUAGAGUUGAGUCAAAAGGUAUGGUAUAGCAGCCUUCCGAGCGAGCCUCUGGGAUCUCCUGUAAACCCCCAUGAUGUGGUAAAGGGAGGAUAUUAGGGGAAGCAGUGAGUGGAGAUUCCCCUGCAGAGAGCCGGAUGAGGGGAGACCUUCACGUCCGGUUCGGAGGGCGGGGAUAUCCCGACCCUACUAUCAUUAUGCCUUUGCAAUGUUA